UACGUAGGGGGCAAGCGUUAUCCGGAAUUACUGGGUGUAAAGGGUGAGUAGGCGGCAUGGUAAGCCAGAUGUGAAAGCCUUGGGCUUAACCCGAGGAUUGCAUUUGGAACUAUCAAGCUAGAGUACAGGAGAGGAAAGCGGAAUUCCUAGUGUAGCGGUGAAAUGCGUAGAUAUUAGGAAGAACACCAGUGGCGAAGGCGGCUUUCUGGACUGAAACUGACGCUGAGGCACGAAAGCGUGGGGAGCGAACAGG
Molecule: ribosomal RNA, 253 nt
Filed under: uncultured bacterium
Lineage: Bacteria
Description: partial 16S ribosomal RNA
Rfam family: Bacterial small subunit ribosomal RNA
Source: RNAcentral